UCUUAAUAGAAUUCAAAUGCCUGUUACUACUUGUGGUGGUUAGAAUAGGAAUGGCCCCCAUGGACUCACGUGUGUGAAUGCUUACCCCUCAGAGAGAGGCACUGUUAGGAGGUGUGGCCUUGUUGGAGGAAGUGUGUCACUCUGGGGGUGGGGCUUUGAGGUCUCAGACGCUCAAGCCAGGCCUACCUUUCCCUUCUGCUGCCUUUGGAUCAAGAUGCAGACCUCUCGGCUCCUUCUCCAGCACCCUGUGUGCCUGCACAGUGCCAUGCUUCCCGCCACGGUGACAAUGAACUUGAGACAUGUCUGCUCUUGGCAGUCUACUUCAGAGAAGAUGCUGGUCAUUGAAGACACUCACAUAGAGUUUGCUUUCUUUGUGGCAAAGUUUACAGGCUCAAAUAAAAGGUCGAGAAAGGGAAGAGGAGGCCACAGAGUUUGAGCUAGCUCCCGGUUUGGGUUCCAGUUGCAGCCUGCCUCCCUCUUACAAUCCUCCCAGACUGACAUCAGCAGGCAUGGAUGCUUCUCAUCGCCCUUCGACAUUCUGGUCUGGAUCAUGUUCCUUUAGAGGGAGAGUUGGGCUCUCCAGAUCGCAGAAUUUAGGGCUAGAAACAAGGGGUCCUCAGAAAGACAAAGGGGUGGUGUGCGAGCGACAAUAUAGCAGAUUCGUGAACGGCAUGUAUAUGCUUUUCCUCCACGUCAGAAUUUACCAAAUAACAAUGAAUUCACAAGCUACCCGCCAUGGUUGUCCCCAUGGGUUCCUGCCACCCCCACCCCCAGUUGGUGGCACUGUUUGGGGAGAUUAUGAACCUUGGGGGUGGAGCCAGCCUCUCUGGGGGAAGUGUGCCACUGGGGGCUGGUCUUUGAGUUUAUAUUCUAGCUCCUCUGCCAGUUCACGCCCUCUGCUUCCUGGCUAAGAUGCCAUCUCUCCGCUACUGUGGUUGCAGCUCCUGCUACAGUAACAGACUCUUUUAUUUCAAUCUUAAUUGUUGUUAUCUUAAAUGUUUCUUCUGCAUUUUAUGCAUAUGGGUGUCUUGUCUGCAUGUACUUCCGCUCACCAGAAAAAAAGGCAUCUCAUCUCAGAGGACUAGAGUUAUAGACAGAUGUGAGUCUUCAUGUCGUUUGUGUAGGUGCUGGGAAUUGAACUCAGGACCUCUGGAAGAGCAGUCAGUGCUCUUGAAUCACUGAGCUGAGUUUCCAGCCUUUGGUGUUAAUUAUUAAUAUGAACUCUUAGGCCACACAUUAUACUUUGUAGGAUAUGUUGCAAAAUUCAGUGUGUGUGUACAUGUGUGUUAUAGAACAUUAGUGUCCACGUGUGUUACAGAACAGCUGGUCACAAAGUUCACACUACUACUCUGGGAACAGGCAGAAAGCUGACAUAGAGGCAGGCAAGGAAGCCCCUCUAAGGGGUAGGUUGGAGGUAUUGUG
RNAcentral lists this long non-coding RNA (1422 nucleotides) under Cricetulus griseus (Chinese hamster). Its description in RNAcentral is "lncRNA (ENSCGRG00015031082.1)". Lineage: Eukaryota; Metazoa; Chordata; Mammalia; Rodentia; Cricetidae. The record is from RNAcentral.